RNAcentral lists this non-coding RNA (170 nucleotides) under uncultured Eubacterium sp. RNAcentral's name for it is "Lysine riboswitch". It matches the Rfam family "Lysine riboswitch aptamer". Rfam says of the family: Riboswitches are metabolite binding domains within certain messenger RNAs that serve as precision sensors for their corresponding targets. RNAcentral also lists the same sequence under 1 other name. Lineage: Bacteria; Bacillati; Bacillota; Clostridia; Eubacteriales; Eubacteriaceae. The record is from RNAcentral.
AUUGAUAGAGGUUGCGUUUUCCAUCAGUAACCGGACGGAUGCCGCAGGAGGCAGUUGAGAUCCGGAGAAAGGGGACGACGCCGAAGAGAUACAGAUUUCCUGUACUGUAUUUUCUGGGCGCAGUUUGAAUAAGGCUGUGACUGUCAUCGUAGUCGAUGGGGCGCUAUCAU